This 256-nucleotide ribosomal RNA is filed under the name uncultured bacterium. Its description in RNAcentral is "partial 16S ribosomal RNA". It matches the Rfam family "Bacterial small subunit ribosomal RNA", at positions 524 to 776 of the family's 1533-position model. The record is from RNAcentral.
UACGAAGGGGGGCAAGCGUUGUUCGGAAUCACUGGGCGUAAAGGGCGCGUAGGCGGCUCAUGAAGGCUGUGGUGAAAGUCCGGGGCUCAACCUCGGAUCGGCCGUGGCGACUCGUGGGCUGGAGCACUGUAGAGGCGGGUGGAAUUCCGGGUGUAGCGGUGGGAAUGCGUAGAUAUUCGCAAGAACACCAGUGGCGAAGGCGGCUUACUGGUCCGGUUCUGACGCUGAGGCGGCGAAAGCGUGGGGAGCAAACAGG